This 547-nucleotide ribosomal RNA is filed under the name uncultured eukaryote. RNAcentral describes it as "SSU rRNA". It matches the Rfam family "Eukaryotic small subunit ribosomal RNA", at positions 21 to 570 of the family's 1831-position model. The record is from RNAcentral.
UGUAGUCAUAUGCUUGUCUCAAAGAUUAAGCCAUGCAUGUCUAAGUAUAAGCAAUUAUACAGCGAAACUGCGAAUGGCUCAUUAUAUAAGUUAUCGUUUAUUUGAUAGUACCUUACUACUUGGAUAACCGUGGUAAUUCUAGAGCUAAUACAUGCUAAAAAUCCCGACUUCGGAAGGGAUGUGUUUAUUAGAUUAAAAACCAAUGCCCUCCGGGGCUCCUUGGUGAUUCAUGAUAACUAUUCGAAUCGCAUGGCCUUGCGCCGGCGAUGGUUCAUUCAAAUUUCUUCCCUAUCAACUUUCGAUGUUUGGGUAUUGGCCAAACAUGGUUGCAACGGGUAACGGAGGGUUAGGGCUCGACCCCGGAGAAGGAGCCUGAGAAACGGCUACUACAUCCAAGGAAGGCAGCAGGCGCGCAAAUUACCCAAUCCCGACACGGGGAGGUAGUGACAAUAAAUACUGAUACAGGGCUCUUUUGGGUCUUGUAAUUGGAAUGAGUACAAUUUAAAUCUCUUAACGAGGAACAAUUGGAGGGCAAGUCUGGUAAUCG